UACAACUCCCAAACCCAAUGUGAACGUUACCAAACUGUUGCCUCGGCGGGGUCACGCCCCGGGUGCGUAAAAGCCCCGGAACCAGGCGCCCGCCGGAGGAACCAACCAAACUCUUUCUGUAGUCCCCUCGCGGACGUAUUUCUUACAGCUCUGAGCAAAAAUUCAAAAUGAAUCAAAACUUUCAACAACGGAUCUCUUGGUUCUGGCAUCGAUGAAGAACGCAGCGAAAUGCGAUAAGUAAUGUGAAUUGCAGAAUUCAGUGAAUCAUCGAAUCUUUGAACGCACAUUGCGCCCGCCAGUAUUCUGGCGGGCAUGCCUGUCCGAGCGUCAUUUCAACCCUCGAACCCCUCCGGGGGGUCGGCGUUGGGGAUCGGGACCCCUCACCGGGUGCCGGCCCUGAAAUACAGUGGCGGUCUCGCCGCAGCCUCUCCUGCGCAGUAGUUUGCACAACUCGCACCGGGAGCGCGGCGCGUCCACGUCCGUAAAACACCCAACUUCUGAAAUGUUGACCUCGGAUCAGGUAGGAAUACCCGCUGAACUUAAGCAUAUCAAUAG
Molecule: ribosomal RNA, 555 nt
Filed under: Trichoderma hamatum
Lineage: Eukaryota; Fungi; Ascomycota; Sordariomycetes; Hypocreales; Hypocreaceae
Description: eukaryotic LSU rRNA
Rfam family: 5.8S ribosomal RNA (bases 177-330)
Source: RNAcentral